RNAcentral lists this ribosomal RNA (373 nucleotides) under uncultured bacterium. Its description in RNAcentral is "bacterial SSU rRNA". It matches the Rfam family "Bacterial small subunit ribosomal RNA", at positions 521 to 896 of the family's 1533-position model. The record is from RNAcentral.
UAAUACGGAGGGUGCAAGCGUUAUCCGGAUUCACUGGGUUUAAAGGGUGUGUAGGCGGGCUGUUAAGUCAGUGGUGAAAUCUCAAGGCUCAACCUUGAAACUGCCAUUGAUACUAUCAGUCUUGAAUUUUGUUGAGGUAGGCGGAAUAUGUCAUGUAGCGGUGAAAUGCUUAGAUAUGACAUAGAACACCAAUUGCGAAGGCAGCUUGCUAAACAAAUAUUGACGCUGAGGCACGAAAGCGUGGGGAUCAAACAGGAUUAGAUACCCUGGUAGUCCACGCCCUAAACGAUGAUUACUCGACAUACGUGAUACACUAUGUGUGUCUGAGCGAAAGCAUUAAGUAAUCCACCUGGGAAGUACGUCCGCAAGGAUG